This 639-nucleotide transfer RNA is filed under the name Gluconobacter oxydans. RNAcentral's name for it is "partial 16S-23S ribosomal RNA intergenic spacer". The stretch from base 111 to 184 matches the Rfam family "tRNA". Lineage: Bacteria; Pseudomonadati; Pseudomonadota; Alphaproteobacteria; Acetobacterales; Acetobacteraceae. The record is from RNAcentral.
GUUGGGAAAUUCCGAAAUAAAAGUCCUUGGCCAGAUUGGCUGAGGCGCCAGACAAUCCUGGAUGAUUGGCCUCAGGGCGCCGUCAACAUAUCCCUUCCUAUAAUUUUCCCGGGCUAGUAGCUCAGUUGGUUAGAGCACACGCUUGAUAAGCGUGGGGUCGGAGGUUCAAGUCCUCCCUGGCCCACCAGAGAUUGGGGGCAUAGCUCAGCUGGGAGAGCACCUGCUUUGCAAGCAGGGGGUCGUCGGUUCGAACCCGUCUGCCUCCACCAGUCACGGUUGAGAUUUCGGUCUCCUCUGAGUGGUGUAGAGCUCAAGAUCUGGUCCGUAAGGGAAAAUCAUAGGAAACGGGACUUCUGUUUCCUGAUCCUGUCUCCACGAAGUUGGAUGACGCGUCAGGGAUGUUGGGUCUUUUAGAGUGUGAAUAGGUUGGUGCGCAGUCUGCGUGUGCCAUUUCCGGGUUGGUCUGACCCGUUGCUGUGGAGCUUAGGCUUCAUUGCAAUGCUAAGGAAAUGGGGAAGCAUUCAGACAGCGUGAAGAAAAGUGUGACUGACACCGCAUGAGUGCGGAAGUCGGCAGCAUCUUUGUGGUGUGGCUGGUUUCUGUGCAUGUGUCUUCAUCCUCGGGUGAAGAAUGGUGUGA